Drosophila melanogaster (fruit fly) is the source of this 943-nucleotide non-coding RNA. NCBI's taxonomy places the organism in Eukaryota, Metazoa, Arthropoda, Insecta, Diptera, Drosophilidae. The record is from Ensembl.
AGCCCUAAGCUAAUUUGCAAUAAUCGUAUAUUGAACCUAUUAGCCAGGGAAUCCAAUAAAGAGCAUACGACCCUGUGGGUGCUGCCAUCCCCUUCUACACCCACACUUCAACGGACUGAGAAGGGGGUGUGGUCAAUGGGCGGCAUCGAAGUCUCCAUGGAAUGGCACAACACGCGAACGGCGAGCAUGCAAGAGGCAACGAUACAAAACGCUAGCGCAGCGGUGACGAAAACGCUGAAAACAACAACUACAUCUACAACUGCAAAAGCCGACAGCAAGUUGAAUGACAUAAACCAUCAACUGACCUUCAACUCUGAGACUGAACCUUAGAAAAAACGAACACAUAGCCUCAUGCAAAUGGGAAUGCGAGAGUGGCGCAUGCAACUUACAGCUUUAUAGCUCGUUCGUUGAGGGAAAGAGAUGUCGGCUAGUGCACACCACCCCCCUAUCCAACACACCCAUAGCCCCUGUAAUGGGCUGCAGCAGAGGAAGUCAGCGGACAAUUGCGCAUGAUACGCUCCAGAUUCUAGAGGUGGGAGAGUGAAGAGCGAUGAGUCACGACGAACGGAUCGAAAGGUGAUCCCAUAAUGUACCAUUGGCAAUGUUAGAGUAAAAACUUCAAUAGAUUCGGACAUGGCCAAAUCGACGCGGCUAGUGAUCAUGAUCCAGAAUAUAUGUAUAUACUUUGUACAAUGCUCGGAAGCCCUUUCUUCUAUCUACGCUUCUAACCAAUCUCAGAAGAAGCCGCUUAACUACUCAUCUCGCUAGAACUAUUAUUGGCAAUUCAAAAUUUUUUUUUUUAAGCUGAUCAAUAUCUUGAACAGGGGUCGAUCUAGCUAUGUCGGUUCGUCCGAAUGUAUAUAUCGUGCAUCGUGUUUCAAAAUUUGCUCCUGCCUCUCUUAUUUGCACUUUUUUCUUUACAUUUUUAAGUUGAAAGUGAUAU